UUUAUCCUGGGCUUUCAGUUGUACCCAAAAUGCAUUACUUGGUUCAUUACUCAGCUUAUAUUUACAGAUUUGGACCAAUGAUUCGGAGCUGGUGCAUGCAAUAUGAAGCAAAGCACAGUUACUUUAAAAGAUUGGCUUCAUACCUUGGAAACUUCACUAAUGUUGCGCUUAGCCUUGCUUAACGACAUCAAACCAGAAGUUGCUAUCUAGGAAAUCAACCCAUUGUAAAAAAGCCUAAAAUUGAUUCUGGAAAAGAAAUUGUUGCUAAGGAUAAUGAACAUUAUUAUUUGCUCAAAGAGAAGGAACCUAACUUAAGUGACAUUAGUAUUUUGUCAAGGUAAAGUACACAUAGUGAUUAUUUUUAUUACAGAAGAUGGUGACUAUUGCGAGAAAAAAUUGCUAGUACUUUAUAUAAUGAAACCAUGGCUGUAAUCUGACUCUUAGACAAUUUUAGAUCCAACCCAGAUCCUGUGGGUUUUGCACCCAUUAUGCGCUUAAUUUGCGUCUUAGUAAGCAUAAGCAAGUCAGGGCCGUC
Molecule: long non-coding RNA, 535 nt
Organism: Xenia sp. Carnegie-2017
Lineage: Eukaryota; Metazoa; Cnidaria; Anthozoa; Malacalcyonacea; Xeniidae
Exons: 3
Source: RefSeq, a predicted model, not a curated record